UCCGUCCUACGGGAGGCAGCAGUGGGGAAUAUUGGGCAAUGGAGGAAACUCUUACCCAGCAAUGCCGCGUGAAUGAAGAAGGUCUUCGGAUUGUAAAGUUCUUUAAUUGGGGACGAAAAAAAUGACGGUACCCAAGGAAUAAGCCCCGGCUAACUACGUGCCAGCAGCCGCGGUAAUACGUAGGGGGCAAGCGUUGUUCGGAAUGACUGGGCGUAAAGGGGGCGUAGGCGGCGUAGCAAGUUAGAAGUGAAAUACCUAGAGCUUAACUCA
This 270-nucleotide ribosomal RNA is filed under the name uncultured bacterium. RNAcentral describes it as "partial 16S ribosomal RNA". It matches the Rfam family "Bacterial small subunit ribosomal RNA", at positions 333 to 616 of the family's 1533-position model. The record is from RNAcentral.